RNAcentral lists this long non-coding RNA (905 nucleotides) under Mus musculus (house mouse). RNAcentral describes it as "predicted gene, 32278 (Gm32278)". Lineage: Eukaryota; Metazoa; Chordata; Mammalia; Rodentia; Muridae. The record is from RNAcentral.
AGGAGAAUCGGGACAGAUUAGAUGGCUUGCUCACUCCAAGACACACUAGAAGCAGUGUAGACAAGAUCUCCCUCCUCCUCCCGGGCGUGCAGGAACUGCCUUGCCCUUUCCGGGGAUGCGACCUCAUGCCUGGCGCGAGCCUGGGAUGGUUCGAGUCCCUGAACAGAGAAGAGGCUGGAACUGGGAAGACAGAUAAUGAUGCCGCUCUGACCCAGGUGUGGUGGUACGUGACUGCAACCCCCCACUCAGCAGGCUGAAGCAGGAUCACGAGUGCAGCCUGAACUGUACAGCAAGACCCUACUUUAAAAAAAGAAAACAAACAAACAAACUGUGAUAUCUCUCUCCAAGAAUGUCCAGAUCCUAGAUCUACACUUUGUAUAGCGCUAGGCACUGUGAGUGGAGACUCUCAUGUAUUUAAAGAGGGCUCUUUACCAUGGAGGAGCUGCAAGAUAUCUCAGCUACAUAGAGCUCAAGGAGGCCUUUCCCCUCCAGCAGCACACAGGCUCUAGAGUGGAGGCAUGCAAUACAGAGCCAGGGCCAGCUUCCUGAGGUGGACCUCUGUGCUCAAAGGGAGCCCACACUUAGCUUGAGGCCCUGCAGAUACCUUCUGAAAUUUGAAGAGAUGGUGGGGGGAGGCAGGGAUUCACUGUGUAGUUCAAGUUGGCUUUGGGCUUAUGUUCCUCCUGCCUCAACCUCCCAGGGCAGGGAUUGCAUAGUGCACGUACACACCCAGCUUCGGAGCAAUUCUUUGUCAAAAUGCCCAACACUUUGCUUGGGGCACAGUAGCAUAGCCGAACCCAGGCAGAAAUGAGGGUCAGGCUUAUAUAGGUCCAUAGAAAAACAGUAUGUGGGAGAGGAUUAGCAAGAUCCAGAAUCUGAAUAAAAAAUAGACGUGAUGAACCCCA